Molecule: ribosomal RNA, 656 nt
Filed under: Phyllobothriid sp. 2 PDO-2006
Lineage: Eukaryota; Metazoa; Platyhelminthes; Cestoda; Phyllobothriidea; Phyllobothriidae
Description: partial 28S ribosomal RNA
Source: RNAcentral
UACGUGAAACCGCAUGCAGGUAAACGGGUGGCGUCAAGCUGCAAGCCCGGAGGAUUCAGCUGGCUAGGAUGUUGUGUAUGCGCCUGGCGCAUCUAUCAGCCGGAGUAAGAUGUGAUAGUCCACUGGUAAACGGUGGGCCCGGCCGCAAGGUUGGGAUAUGUGUACCGGGCGGAAGCCGGAGCAUGCUAUUCGUCUGUUGGGCUGUCUAGUCAGUGCACUUUCUCUGUGGUGAACACCACGACCGGUGGAAUUGCCAGUCUGCUGUAGUCAAGUCGUAUUCAGUCGGUUCUUGUAGCCAACUGGGUGCGAUCACAGGCAAACUCAGUAAACGGCGUAGGGGUGUCUCGGCAUCCUUGCGUGUUAUCGGCUGCUGGUUGUCAACGGGCCUGCCUGAUGAUUGUUGUAACCGUCAUUGGGUGGUCUGGUGGACUAUGGUGGUAAGAAUAACUGUGCAAGGCAUCGGAGUUCUCGGCCUCAAAUGCAUCCUGCAUACACGUUACAAGUGGAGUGGGGUGCCAUUGCAGCCUGCCUGUUGUUGGGUCUGAUUGUCGUGUCGCCUGCGCAAAGUGGGCCCGGCAGUGGCCUGAUGCGGGAUGGGUUGUGGAUGGUGCCUCCUGUGUAGGGUGCGGUGGGUCAAAUAGUCAGUGGUGUAGUGG